AUGAAGAUUACGUGCUUGUUGUGCGGGCAUGAGGAUGAAACUCUGCUACAUGCACUGGUAUAGUGCGUCCAUGCCAGGACGUAGUGGGCUGAGGCGGAAAAGUUUUUUGGAAUCAGUCUACCUCAUAUGGUUCCAGAGACUUGGUCUAGAGAUAUUCUGGAUCCCCACUAUCUGUCCAAGGAAAAAGCAGAAAUUGCAAUUACGGUGAUGUGGGCGGUCUGGAAUAGCAGAAACUAAUAUUCACAUGGGGAGGUCCAGUACCAGCCAAUUCGCUCAAUGGAGCUGGUCCAAGAGAUGAUCAGAGUUCUUGAUAUUCCAGGAAAGGAAAAGGUGGCACUUCAUGAACGGCCGUUUUGGCGUCCACCUGCCGAAGGAGUUGUCAAGGUGAAUACAGACAUAGCAACGCAAAUGGCUACUAGGGAGUCGGGAGGCUCGAUGAUAGCGCGUGAUAAUCACGGCUCGUUUCUUGCAGCUAGGUAUAAACACUAUUUAGGAACUACCUCCCCGUUGGUUGGAGAAGCUUUGGCGUGCCGCAAUGCGAUGUUGUUUUGCUUUGGAGCAAGGAUGGACCAAUGUUCAAAUUGA
This 585-nucleotide ribosomal RNA is filed under the name Triticum aestivum (bread wheat). RNAcentral's name for it is "partial small subunit ribosomal RNA". Lineage: Eukaryota; Viridiplantae; Streptophyta; Magnoliopsida; Poales; Poaceae. The record is from RNAcentral.